This 455-nucleotide ribosomal RNA is filed under the name uncultured eukaryote. RNAcentral describes it as "bacterial SSU rRNA". It matches the Rfam family "Eukaryotic small subunit ribosomal RNA", at positions 1189 to 1657 of the family's 1831-position model. The record is from RNAcentral.
CUUAAUUUGACAACGCGGGAAAACUCACCAGGUCAGGACACGGUAAGGAUUGACGGACUGAAGGCUCUUUCUCGAUUCCGUGGAAAGUGGUGCAUGGCCGUUUUUGGUUGGUGGAUCGAUCCGUCUGGUUAAUUCCGUUAACGAACGAGACCUCGGCACUCCGAAUAGCGCGGCGGACGUCGCGGCCUCCGGGCCGUCUUCCGCACGAGCUUCUUAGAGGGACCGUCCCCCGCCGGGGAAGGAGGUGCGAGGCAACGACAGGUCUGUGAUGCCCUUAGAUGUUCUGGGCCGCACGCGCAUUACACUGACGCGUCCAACGGGUGACUCCCGACCCGAAGGGGCCGGGGAAUCCGCAAGGCGCGUCGUGAUGGGGAUUGAACGUUGCAAUUGUUGUUCACGAACGAGGAAUUCCUAGUAGGCGCGGGUCAUCAACCCGCGCCGAUUACGUCCCUGCC